GCGCGCAAUUCCCUCUCGCCGGCUAGCCUUCAGCCGCCGACGUCUCGGCCCCUCAGAAAGCCGGUCGCGCCAUGUCUUCGCCUCCCGCGGGAAAGCUAGAGACGAAAGCAGGACACCCGCCCGCCGGUGGAUUUGCUUUCCUUUGAGUCACAUUUCAAUGGCUCUUCUCUACUGGGACAAGAACAAAGGAAGCUUCAGCUUAGAAGUCCUGGACAGUGCUGGGGGGUGUGCAAGGCCGCACCCUGGCUCAGGGCGCUUGUACAGUCUGGGCAGACCCUUCUUGUGCCCCUGCCAGGCUUGCAGCUGGGGGGCUUUCCAGCCUGCUGUGCAGUGUGGGUCCAGAGCAAGCUGGCACCCCAACAUCUGAGGAGAGGCCCGGCUGACCCAGGGGAUAUGUCAUCAAUUGCUUCCUCCACCCCCUUGGGCAGGAAGCUGCUCUGAAGAGCUUUCUACAUCAAAGGCACUUUCUUCCUGGCCUUGAACUUGCCCACAGGCUGUCACUUGUGUCUCUGAGGUGCAGUCAUGCUGUUUCCUGGAAGGUUCAAGUGACGAAAGGCCUGUGGGCUGUGAUUAAGGGCGCAGGCUACCGGGGUCAGAACUUGCUGGCUGUGAUUCCAGGGCCCCUGGCUGCCCCUCCUGGGCUGGGGCGGGGAGGGGUUCUGCAUCCCAGGGUUGCUGUAAAGGGAGGGAGCUCACAGCCAGUGCUUAGAACAGUGCCUGGUGCAGGGUGACAUGAAGUGCAGCCAGGUGGAGGGGCUAUCCAGGAUCUGCUGUUCUCCAGAAGCUUCCUUAGGUGGUGAGGCACUAACGACAGGCCUGGAGGUGGUCAGCUGAGCAGGGCAGUGGAGCCUCACAUGGGCAGGCUCUUUGCAGAUGAAAGCUGGUGGGAUGCGAAUUGUGCAGAAACAUCCGCACUCUGGAGAUGCCAAGGAAGAGAAGGACAAGGACGACCAGGAGUGGGAAAGCCCCAGCCCACCCAAACCGACGGUGUUCAUCUCUGGAGCCAUCGCCCGGGGUGAUAAAGACUUUCCCCCUGCGGCUGCCCAGGUGGCCCACCAGAAGCCCCAUGCCUCCAUAGACAAGCAUCCAUGCCCGAGAACCCAGCACAUCCAGCAGCCUCGCAAGUGAUCGGCGAGCACCCACCACCCACCCUAGCCUCGGUUCCCUGACACUUGGUAUUUCCCAACAAAGAGGACUGGCAUCUUCUUCAAAACACUUCCCCGUGGAGAAAUCCAAGACAAAGCAAAACUCCCCUUCCGUUGCCUUAAAUUUCCACAUCUAACACUAGAAUCAGACCCCAAACCUUGUUUGCAGGGAGUCCUGGCUGGUGUCACUUGAGGGUCCUUGGGCCUCUUACAAGUGCCAUUAGCAGAACUUACCGGACCUGAGUGAAAUGAGCUUGUUCAGAGUUUAGCUUUGUUCCCAUUCAUCGGCUGCCCUGUCAGUGGACUUAAAAACAAGCGGGCACAGAUUUUGGAGGGUUAGAGGAAGGUCAGGGGAAAGCUCAGUCAUUUCAUGCUUUUUGGUAAGAGGACCAUAACGUCUUAACACCUAGUGGGCAGAGAAAGAGAUGAAGGCAUUGAUUACAGGAAGGCUGAGCAGGGGAGACUUUUGAAACAGGCAACAGCAUCGCUGUAUUUCCCUCCCUUGUGUGACAAGGGAUCACAGCACAGGAGACACCAAGCACUCACAGAAAGGCCACGGAAAAGCUCACAGCUUUGAAAUGGCUCUUCUUUCCCAGGAGUCAUCUUGCUGAAAAUUUUGCCUAAACCAGAUCUGUCAGUGCGGGUCCCAAGUCCAGCACAGCCCCACCAUCCACAAUGGGUUUGUAGGAAAUCAAGGAAAACCUUCCUUCUUCAAGCAUCACCUCCAGAGCUGUCUUCAGGUUCUGGCCGUGAUCACUGACCAGGUGACACAUAGCUAGUCUUGGAACCCUAGAGCAAAAGCCGUUAACGUCCGUGGAAAGACCAGAUGAAAACCUGCCCUUUGCCUCCCUAGGGAAAAGCAGAACACCAUGUGCCAUUUGAGCUACAAAAGCCUGUUUGUCAACCAGUCAAAGUGUCCAGAUUCCCUCUGCCCAAGGGCCCCGUUGCCUGGGCCCAUGUUCACUUGCCAUCUCAAACCGUCUAGCACUUUCUGUCCACAUGUCCUGCCCAGAGCCACCCUAGACUGCCCACUGGCUCAUAGCUACCAUAUGCCUUGCUUUUCUGAAAAGCCAAAGGGCUCAUUUAUUUACUCAGAGGUUCAAAUCUCCCAGAGCAGAUGCUUUGAGAGAAGGUGCAGCCUGGCAGUCCCGCUUGCCGGAGUGGUGUUUGCUGCAGCUGGGCACACACACCACAGUCCUUGUGAUGCCUUCUCCAGGUCCACAGCCAUGACUGGUAAGAGUGCCAGAGGCCAGGAGACCCAGCUCUCAUCCUUCCCUAAGGGAAAAGCCAGCACUUCUUCACAUCCUAAAAGUAAUGUUUGGUUUCCCAUCUCAUUGAUGUGGGAGCCGGGGUCUUACCCUGCAAGCGCUGUAUAGUCACGUCUCCUAGUCCUUAAUUGCUAAGAUGCUGCCAUACUCUGGGGCUGGCUUGUGGAGAUGCAGGCUAGAUGGGCAGCCACCUCCUGGAGGCAGCAUCUCUGAAGGAUGCUGAGAGCAGACAGCACCAGGUCAGGUCUGUGGACCACUACACCCUCUGCUGCAGAAAUGAAGACACGUCCUCGAUGCUUUUUAGUGUUGCAGCCAGGAUCAACUCGCUACUCCCCAUGGUGCAUCUUUCACGUCCUUUUUGCUACAUCUGGCAUGGAGCUGUGUGUUGUAGAAUCACUGAACGCAAAAGGUUCUCCUGGAUGAGUUUAUCUGUAGUUAACUUUUAAGAAUAAUAAUGGUGAUAAUAAAGCUCCUGCAUU
This 2892-nucleotide long non-coding RNA is filed under the name Sus scrofa (pig). Its description in RNAcentral is "lncRNA (ENSSSCG00005032711.1)". The record is from RNAcentral. Lineage: Eukaryota; Metazoa; Chordata; Mammalia; Artiodactyla; Suidae.